ACAGGCUUACCCAUGCAAUUCAAGGGCCACCGGGUUGAAAGCUUGCUUUCAAUGCCGGCGACCGGCGCACGGGUCGUAACGCGUAUCAAACCUGCCUCAUACUCGGGGAUAGCCUUGCGAAAGUAAGAUUAAUACCCGAUGUUGUUGCUUUCUCGCAUGGGAGAGUAACCAAAGAUUCAUCGGUAUGAGAUGGUGAUGCGUCCGAUUAGGUAGUAGGCGGGGUAACGGCCCACCUAGCCUUCGAUCGGUAGGGGUUCUGAGAGGAAGGUCCCCCACACUGGAACUGAGACACGGUCCAGACUCCUACGGGAGGCAGCAGUGAGGAAUAUUGGUCAAUGGGCGAGAGCCUGAACCAGCCAAGUAGCGUGCAGGAUGACGGCCCUCCGGGUUGUAAACUGCUUUUAGUUGGGAAUAAAAAAGGGGACUUGUCCCUUCUUGUAUGUACCUUCA
RNAcentral lists this ribosomal RNA (450 nucleotides) under Alloprevotella sp. oral taxon 308. RNAcentral's name for it is "bacterial SSU rRNA". It matches the Rfam family "Bacterial small subunit ribosomal RNA", at positions 42 to 483 of the family's 1533-position model. Lineage: Bacteria; Pseudomonadati; Bacteroidota; Bacteroidia; Bacteroidales; Prevotellaceae. The record is from RNAcentral.